RNAcentral lists this ribosomal RNA (497 nucleotides) under uncultured bacterium. Its description in RNAcentral is "partial 16S ribosomal RNA". It matches the Rfam family "Bacterial small subunit ribosomal RNA", at positions 28 to 507 of the family's 1533-position model. The record is from RNAcentral.
GAUGAACGCUGGCGGCGUGCCUAAUACAUGCAAGUCGAGCGAACGGAUGAGAAGCUUGCUUCUCUGAUGUUAGCGGCGGACGGGUGAGUAACACGUGGAUACCCUACCUAUAAGACUGGGAUAACUUCGGGAAACCGGAGCUAAUACCGGAUAAUAUUUUGAACCGCAUGGUUCAAAAGUGAAAGACGGUCUUGCUGUCACUUAUAGAUGGAUCCGCGCUGCAUUAGCUAGUUGGUAAGGUAACGGCUUACCAAGGCAACGAUGCAUAGCCGACCUGAGAGGGUGAUCGGCCACACUGGAACUGAGACACGGUCCAGACUCCUACGGGAGGCAGCAGUAGGGAAUCUUCCGCAAUGGGCGAAAGCCUGACGGAGCAACGCCGCGUGAGUGAUGAAGGUCUUCGGAUCGUAAAACUCUGUUAUUAGGGAAGAACAUAUGUGUAAGUAACUGUGCACAUCUUGACGGUACCUAAUCAGAAAGCCACGGCUAACUACGUG